GUAGGUAGGUAGGUAGGUAGGUAGGUAGGUAGGUAGGUAGGUAGAUAGAUAGAUAGAUAGAUAGAUAGAUAGAUAGAUAGAUAGAUAGAUAGAUAGAUAGAUAGAUAGAUAGAAUAUUGCUUCAUGGAACAGAAUUUAUUAAAGAGUUGAGACCAGUAUAAGGCAGGAGGUUGUGUAUCUUAAGAGGGACCCUAUGUAGAAUUCUCCAUGCAAAGUUCGUUCUACUCUCUUUGGUAUCCUGGUGGUCCAGAUUUUCACCCUCAAGCACACAAACCGAAUGGAACGAUUCCUUCUGUAUCUAAGUUAGACACACUGCCUUUCUAGAGGUCAACAUCAUAUUUUCUUAUUUGCCACCGGUCAUCCAAAAACUGAACAUUUUUCUUUUUUUAGGGAUACGGAAAGGGGCCACAAUCCUCAGGGAAAAGUACACUCAUCCAAACGUGCUUUUUAUCAUGAAAAUUUGCGGAACCCUCCGGCCAAAUAAGGAAGCUUCCAACUUGAAGAGUUACGAACGGGCUGGCAGUUCUCCGCUUAGAUUCAUUUUCAAGCAAUGGCCACGCAACACAGCGGUAUCCUCAGAGGAAUGACACACUGCAGUCUGCUAUUAAUCCAUACUACAGAACCACUGGUACACUCGAUGACUUUUCUACAAAAGUAAAGGUCACGCCUGACAUGUACCACUGCACAAAGCGUCCCGUAGCGAUUCAUAUUAAAAAGAAGACCAAGUAGAAAGUCCUAAGCAUUGUCCAUGACAAGCAACAGAGUCAGCCUGAAGCACAAGACACAAGAUCACAACGGGACAGAACACUGCUGUACACAAGACAAUAGGGCUGCUACUGAUCCUCGGCUUCGGGCUUUCAACUGACGUGAAACGGAGACAUUCGGGUAGUCCUCGACUUACGACCGCCCAUUAAAAGAGACAUCCAUGCUAAGCAACCGGUCGUAAGUCCAGGACUACCUGAGUGCAUUCGGGAGCCUUAUUUUGAAGCAACUACAACUGAAAAAGAGCCCCUGGCCAAUAGAAGGGAAGAUUAUUAACUGAACUUGUAAAGAAAGGAAAAAA
Crotalus tigris (Tiger rattlesnake) is the source of this 1063-nucleotide long non-coding RNA. RefSeq lists it as uncharacterized. The record is from RefSeq and is a predicted model, not a curated record. NCBI's taxonomy places the organism in Eukaryota, Metazoa, Chordata, Lepidosauria, Squamata, Viperidae. The transcript has 2 exons.